UGGGUAGGGGAGCUUCCCAUACGGGUUGAAGCAUGACCGUAAGGACAUGUGGACAGUAUGGGAGUGAGAAUGUUGGCAUGAGUAGCGAGAUGUGGGUGAGAAUCCCACAGGCCGUAAACCCAAGGUUUCCAGGGGAAGGUUCGUCCGCCCUGGGUUAGUCGGGACCUAAGCUGAGGCCGAAAGGCGUAGGUGAUGGACAACAGGUUGAUAUUCCUGUACUACCGAUAACCGUUUGAGAGA
Molecule: ribosomal RNA, 240 nt
Filed under: Clostridioides difficile
Lineage: Bacteria; Bacillati; Bacillota; Clostridia; Peptostreptococcales; Peptostreptococcaceae
Description: partial 23S ribosomal RNA
Rfam family: Bacterial large subunit ribosomal RNA
Source: RNAcentral